Molecule: ribosomal RNA, 442 nt
Filed under: uncultured bacterium
Lineage: Bacteria
Description: bacterial SSU rRNA
Rfam family: Bacterial small subunit ribosomal RNA
Source: RNAcentral
AACGCGAAGAACCUUACCUGGGCUCGAAAUGUAGUGGAAUGGGGUGGAAACAUCCCCGUCUCGCAAGAGACUGCUAUAUAGGUGCUGCAUGGCUGUCGUCAGCUCGUGUCGUGAGAUGUUGGGUUAAGUCCCGCAACGAGCGCAACCCUUAUUACCUGUUGCUAACGCGUAAUGGCGAGGACUCGGGUGAAACUGCCUGGGAUAACCAGGAGGAAGGUGGGGAUGACGUCAAGUCCGUAUGCCCCUUAUGUCCAGGGCUACACACAUGCUACAAUGGCCGAUACAGAGGGUUCCCAACCCGCGAGGGGGAGGCAAUCCCACAAAGUCGGUCUCAGUUCGGAUUGCAGGCUGCAACUCGCCUGCAUGAAGUCGGAAUCGCUAGUAAGCGCAGAUCAGCAGGCUGCGCUGAAUACGUUCCCGGGCCUUGUACACACCGAGUAUA